Molecule: ribosomal RNA, 450 nt
Filed under: uncultured bacterium
Lineage: Bacteria
Description: bacterial SSU rRNA
Rfam family: Bacterial small subunit ribosomal RNA
Source: RNAcentral
UGGGGAAUUGUUCGCAAUGGGCGCAAGCCUGACGACGCAACGCCGCGUGGAGGAUGAAGAUCUUCGGGUCGUAAACUCCUGUCGAGCGGGACGAACGGUCCGUGGGUGAAUAGCCUGCGGAAGUGACGGUACCGCUAAAGGAAGCCCCGGCUAACUCCGUGCCAGCAGCCGCGGUAAUACGGGGGGGGCAAGCGUUGUUCGGAAUUACUGGGCGUAAAGGGCUCGUAGGCGGCCAACUAAGUCAGACGUGAAAUCCCUCGGCUCAACCGGGGAACUGCGUCUGAGACUGGAUGGCUUGAAUCCGGGAGAGGGAUGUGGAAUUCCAGGUGUAGCGGUGAAAUGCGUAGAUAUCUGGAGGAACACCGGUGGCGAAGGCGGCAUCCUGGACCGGUAUUGACGCUGAGGAGCGAAAGCCAGGGGAGCAAACGGGAUUAGAUACCCCCGUAGUCC